This 498-nucleotide ribosomal RNA is filed under the name uncultured bacterium. Its description in RNAcentral is "partial 16S ribosomal RNA". It matches the Rfam family "Bacterial small subunit ribosomal RNA", at positions 30 to 523 of the family's 1533-position model. The record is from RNAcentral.
AUUGAACGCUGGCGGCAUGCCUUACACAUGCAAGUCGAACGGUAACAGGUCUUCGGAUGCUGACGAGUGGCGAACGGGUGAGUAAUACAUCAGAACGUGCCUAGUAGUGGGGGAUAACUACUCGAAAGAGUGGCUAAUACCGCAUGAGAUCUACGGAUGAAAGCAGGGGACCGCAAGACCUUGUGCUACUAGAGCGGCCGAUGGCAGAUUAGGUAGUUGGUGGGAUAAAAGCUUACCAAGCCGACGAUCUGUAGCGGGUCUGAGAGGACGAUCAGCCACACUGGGACUGAGACACGGCCCAGACUCCUACGGGAGGCAGCAGUGGGGAAUUUUGGACAAUGGGCGAAAGCCUGAUCCAGCAAUGCCGCGUGCAGGAUGAAGGCCUUCGGGUUGUAAACUGCUUUUGUACGGAACGAAAAGCCCCGGGUUAAUACCCUGGGGUCAUGACGGUACCGUAAGAAUAAGCACCGGCUAACUACGUGCCAGCCGCCGCCGUAA